UACGUAGGGGGCAAGCGUUAUCCGGAUUUACUGGGUGUAAAGGGAGCGUAGACGGCCAGACAAGUCAGAAGUGAAAGCCCAGGGCUCAACCCUGGGACUGCUUUUGAAACUGCCGGGCUGGAGUGCAGGAGGGGUAAGCGGAAUUCCUAGUGUAGCGGUGAAAUGCGUAGAUAUUAGGAGGAACACCAGUGGCGAAGGCGGCUUACUGGACUGUAACUGACGUUGAGGCUCGAAAGCGUGGGGAGCAAACAGG
RNAcentral lists this ribosomal RNA (253 nucleotides) under uncultured bacterium. RNAcentral describes it as "partial 16S ribosomal RNA". It matches the Rfam family "Bacterial small subunit ribosomal RNA", at positions 524 to 776 of the family's 1533-position model. The record is from RNAcentral.